AGUUUGAUCAUGGCUCAGAACGAACGCUGGCGGCAUGCCUAACACAUGCAAGUCGAACGAACCCUUCGGGGUGAGUGGCGCACGGGUGCGUAACGCGUGGGAACCUGCCUUUAGGUUCGGAAUAACAGUUAGAAAUGACUGCUAAUACCGGAUAAUGUCUUCGGACCAAAGAUUUAUCGCCUUUAGAUGGGCCCGCGUUAGAUUAGAUAGUUGGUGGGGUAAUGGCCUACCAAGUCGACGAUCUAUAGCUGGUCUGAGAGGAUGAUCAGCCACACUGGGACUGAGACACGGCCCAGACUCCUACGGGAGGCAGCAGUGGGGAAUAUUGGACAAUGGGCGAAAGCCUGAUCCAGCAAUGCCGCGUGAGUGAUGAAGGCCUUAGGGUUGUAAAGCUCUUUUACCAGGGAUGAUAAUGACAGUACCUGGAGAAUAAGCUCCGGCUAACUCCGUGCC
RNAcentral lists this ribosomal RNA (453 nucleotides) under Erythrobacter longus. RNAcentral's name for it is "bacterial SSU rRNA". It matches the Rfam family "Bacterial small subunit ribosomal RNA", at positions 10 to 509 of the family's 1533-position model. The record is from RNAcentral. Lineage: Bacteria; Pseudomonadati; Pseudomonadota; Alphaproteobacteria; Sphingomonadales; Erythrobacteraceae.